Molecule: ribosomal RNA, 255 nt
Filed under: uncultured prokaryote
Description: partial 16S ribosomal RNA
Rfam family: Bacterial small subunit ribosomal RNA
Source: RNAcentral
UACGGAGGGUGCAAGCGUUAUCCGGAAUUACUGGGUUUAAAGGGUGCGUAGGCGGUUGUAUAAGUCAGCAAGUGAAAUUCCACAGCUUAACUGUAGGAACUGCUUUUGAUACUGUACGACUUGAACCAAGAUGAGGUAGGCGGAAUGUGGCAUGUAGCGGUGAAAUGCAUAGAUAUGCCAUAGAACACCGAUUGCGAAGGCAGCUUACUAGACUUGUGUUGACGCUGAGGCACGAAAGCGUGGGGAGCGAACAGG